Molecule: ribosomal RNA, 484 nt
Filed under: uncultured bacterium
Lineage: Bacteria
Description: partial 16S ribosomal RNA
Rfam family: Bacterial small subunit ribosomal RNA
Source: RNAcentral
AUUGAACGCUGGCGGCAGGCCUAACACAUGCGAGUCGAGCGGAUGAAGGGAGCUUGCUCCUGGAUUCAGCGGCGGACGGGUGAGUAAUGCCUAGGAAUCUGCCUGGUAGUGGGGGAUAACGUCCGGAAACGGGCGCUAAUACCGCAUACGUCCUGAGGGAGAAAGUGGGGGAUCUUCGGACCUCACGCUAUCAGAUGAGCCUAGGUCGGAUUAGCUAGUUGGUGGGGUAAAGGCCUACCAAGGCGACGAUCCGUAACUGGUCUGAGAGGAUGAUCAGUCACCUUGGAGGUGAGACACGGUCAAUGCGACUGCGGGAGGCAGCAGUGGGGAAUAUGGGGCAGUAGGCGAGAAUAUGGCACAACGGGGCCGCGUGUGAGACAGCGAUCUUCGGAUCGUAAAGCACUCUUAGUUGGGAUGAAGCGCAGUAAGCUGAGACCUUGCUGUAUUGACGUUACCAGGAAAAGAAGCACCGGCUAACUACGUG